Molecule: transfer RNA, 61 nt
Filed under: Pseudoniphargus sp. 6-Morocco B
Lineage: Eukaryota; Metazoa; Arthropoda; Malacostraca; Amphipoda; Allocrangonyctidae
Description: tRNA-Ser
Source: RNAcentral
AACUAUUAAGUAUUAAACAUAUGUUUUGAAAGCAUAAUUAGGAGAAUUACUCCAAUAGUUU